GGAAGGUAAAAGGGAGUGAGCACGGUAUAUACACAAGGACACAGGGAAGGUAAAAGGGAGUGAGCAUGGAAUAUACACAAGGACACAGGGAAGGUAAAAGGGAGUGAGCAUGGAAUAUACACAAGGACACAGGGAAGGUAAAAGGGAGUGAGCACGGAAUAUACACAAGGACACAGGGAAGGUAAAAGGGAGUGAGCACGGUAUAUACACAAGGACACAGGGAAGGUAAAAGGGAGUGAGCAUGGAAUAUACACAAGGACACAGGAAGGUAAAAGGGAGUGAGCACGGUAUAUACACAAGGACACAGGGAAGGUAAAAGGGAGUGAGCAUGGAAUAUA
Protopterus annectens (West African lungfish) is the source of this 338-nucleotide long non-coding RNA. RefSeq lists it as uncharacterized. The transcript has 3 exons. The record is from RefSeq and is a predicted model, not a curated record. Lineage: Eukaryota; Metazoa; Chordata; Ceratodontiformes; Protopteridae.